Scophthalmus maximus (turbot) is the source of this 119-nucleotide ribosomal RNA. The record is from Ensembl. Lineage: Eukaryota; Metazoa; Chordata; Actinopteri; Pleuronectiformes; Scophthalmidae.
GCUUACGGCCACACCGCCUGGUUAAUGCCCGAUCUCGUUUGAUCUCGGAAGCUAGGAUAGGUUGGGCCUGGUUAGUACUUGGAUGGGAGACCGCCUGGGAUUACCAGGUGCUGUAAGCU